RNAcentral lists this ribosomal RNA (537 nucleotides) under Peroneutypa scoparia. Its description in RNAcentral is "partial large subunit ribosomal RNA". It matches the Rfam family "Eukaryotic large subunit ribosomal RNA", at positions 88 to 646 of the family's 3401-position model. The record is from RNAcentral. Lineage: Eukaryota; Fungi; Ascomycota; Sordariomycetes; Xylariales; Diatrypaceae.
GGCGAGUGAAGCGGCAACAGCUCAAAUUUGAAAUCUGGCCCUCGGGUCCGAAUUGUAAUUUGUAGAGGAUGCUUUUGGUGCGGUGCCUUCUGAGUUCCUUGGAACAGGACGCCUUAGAGGGUGAGAGCCCCGUACAGUUGGACACCAAGCCUUUGUAAAGCUCCUUCGACGAGUCGAGUAGUUUGGGAAUGCUGCUCUAAAUGGGAGGUAAAUUUCUUCUAAAGCUAAAUAUUGGCCAGAGACCGAUAGCGCACAAGUAGAGUGAUCGAAAGAUGAAAAGUACUUUGAAAAGAGGGUUAAAUAGCACGUGAAAUUGUUGAAAGGGAAGCGUUUAUGACCAGACCUUCGUCGGGCGGAUCAUCCGGUGUUCUUCACCGGUGCACUUCGCCCGGCUUAGGCCAGCAUCGGUUUUCGUAGGGGGAUAAAGGCCUAGGGAAUGUGGCUCCCUCCGGGGAGUGUUAUAGCCCUGGGCGUAAUACCUUUAUGGGGACCGAGGUUCGCGCUCCGGCAAGGAUGCUGGCGUAAUGGUCAUCAACG